Molecule: transfer RNA, 89 nt
Filed under: Nocardioides sp. T2.26MG-1
Lineage: Bacteria; Bacillati; Actinomycetota; Actinomycetes; Propionibacteriales; Nocardioidaceae
Description: tRNA-Thr(cgt)
Source: RNAcentral
UCAGCUCGAGCUCCGACGGCGACGGGGCGCGGGUGUUCGUGGCGUCUGCCGACCCGUUGUCUCCCCGGCUCGAGUCCGGCGUGCUCGCC